UACGGGGGGGGCAAGCGUUGUUCGGAAUUACUGGGCGUAAAGGGCUCGUAGGCGGCCAACUAAGUCGGACGUGAAAUCCCUCGGCUUAACCGAGGAACUGCGUCCGAUACUGGAUGGCUUGAGUUUGGGAGAGGGAUGCGGAAUUCCAGGUGUAGCGGUGAAAUGCGUAGAUAUCUGGAGGAACACCGGUGGCGAAGGCGGCAUCCUGGACCAACACUGACGCUGAGGAGCGAAAGCCAGGGGAGCAAACGGG
This 253-nucleotide ribosomal RNA is filed under the name uncultured bacterium. Its description in RNAcentral is "partial 16S ribosomal RNA". It matches the Rfam family "Bacterial small subunit ribosomal RNA", at positions 524 to 776 of the family's 1533-position model. The record is from RNAcentral.